Long non-coding RNA from Temnothorax curvispinosus, 880 nucleotides. RefSeq lists it as uncharacterized. The record is from RefSeq and is a predicted model, not a curated record. The transcript is spliced from 3 exons. Lineage: Eukaryota; Metazoa; Arthropoda; Insecta; Hymenoptera; Formicidae.
CAGUUCAUAUACAGAGAGGCGAAAAAGCCGCCGGUGUCAUUCUCAUUGAUUUGCAUUAAUUCUUGUACUUCCGGCGCAACCUACUGUGAUAAAUAUUCCGGAAUCUUUGGCAUAGCAUUUUAUUGAUUUUACUACGACGCAGUUUACGAAUAUUCCGAACCGAGAAUAUUACGAACAGAGAAACCUCAACGGAGUAAAGUGAAUAAUACCAUAGAGAAAACAGUAAACGAAGUAAAUAUAUGCAGAGAAGUCGCGGACGGCUUGCGUAUAUAUUUCGAUUUCGCAUAUUACCUCAUCUCCUGUUAUAUAGGACACUCGACGAGCUCCGGGCUUUCCCUAUCGAUGACGACGGUGAAUGUCUGCCAAGGAUAUGCGCCAGAAAAUGAACAAGAUCUUUUCAACAGAAAACUGAAUCGCCCAGCAUGCCGAGUAUUUUCCGCAAGAAGUAAACUCCCCUUUGUGUCUUAUAGCAAGAAAUUCUGUGUGAGAAAAUUGAGUAUCACGUCGGCAAGAGAUUCGCGAGUGCAAGCACAAAAAAUUGUUGUUAGACAUAAAUGUAUAAUGUUGUUUCAACGAAUGUUAACUUAUUUUUUAUCGCGCUAGCUUUGUGAGUGACGUGUAAAUUAUUUUGUUUAAAUAUUAACACGGUCUGAGGAGUUUAGAGAUGAGAAAAUACGAAUGUUUUUUCACGUUUUGUAAAAUUUGGAUGUCCAUUGUGUCUGCACUCUCGCAGCGUUUGGAAUUUUCUUACUUUCUCAUGAUCCUCUUUAGGUAAAAGAAAAGAAAAAGAGUAAAUUCAAAACGCCACGAUUAACAGUAAUUAAUGUUUAAUUUCGAUGUCUGUCACUUUACAUAGUAAUAAACAAACGUCAUAGAUCAU